GGUCGCUGAAGCGGUGGCCGGCGACGACCCUUCUCGCCCGGCGCUACUGAGGGGAGAAGGAGGAGGGCGGGGAAGGCGGGUGAGAGGCAAGGGGUGUUGCGUGCGAGAAGGCGGCGGUGCGAGGGCAGGCAGGUGUGGACAACCGCUCGGUUUUUUCCCCCCUUCAGCCAGUCAGGAGGUGCGCCAGCCUCUGCUUGUCCGCGCCCCUCGCCAUGUGCUUCUCCCGUGCUUCUCUUCCUUGCCGCUCCCCGAGGAUAAGGAGCUGCGCCCCACCGCCCCCUUCCCCUUGCGCCCGAGCCGUCUCCACCUCCCGCCGUUUGCUCCGGCUAUUGCGGUUCGCCCGACGUCCCCUUUCUUCUGAACGGUCUGUCUCCGCGCGCACACCCCUUCUUCGCCUCCUGGUCCCAUUUAUGAAGCGCCUUCGCCAUCACGUGUUUAAUGUGCCUUUGUCCUGUCGUUGGCAGCCGCGGGAGCAGAGCCCGGCAAAGGCGGCGGCGGCGACGACGAGCGAGGGCGGGAGAAGCGGGGGAGGAACAGGGAAAGAGAGACCUGAGCGCCAAAAACUUUGCGCGUGCGGCAGGAAAGGGGGCAACAACGGCUUUGGGCAAACGGGCCCGGCAGCUUCACGGGGCAACAACGCUUUGGGCAAACGGGCGGCAAACGGGCCAGCUUCUGCCCCAAAGAGAGCGUGGGGUUGGCUGACGAGAACGGGGCGGUGGGCUACCAGGCUGGCCACUAGGGAACGGGACGUUGAUGGAGUGCUGAAGGGGAGAACGUUUCGGUCAACUUGUAGGGCAAGGAGAGGCUGCCCGGCAUACAAGGCCGUUUGUGUGUGUGUGUGUGUGUGUAUAUAUCUCCGCGUAGUUUUUGGAGGGCGAGCGAAAACGCGCGCCUUUGAGCUCUGAGGAGAGGAACCCCUUGGGGAACAGGACUAUCAUUCGAGGCUUCGCGCACCGGCUCCCGCCCAAUUCUCUCGGAGAGCUAGGCGGCAUAGCACCAGUUGGCCGUGCAGCUCGGUGCCUUGAAUUCACGAACACUACCACAACGCCCAUUUUAAAGGCCGAGGCGGGGCUGACGGCGUCGUUCUUCGCGAAAUACGAGCUCGGUUGCUCGUCGUUUGGGGAAGCACCCGGGCCGUCCCGCAUAAGUGGCGCGUUCGUUAUGGGCCGUCGUGGAAGCUCUUGGAGCCUCGCAGGAUCUCCCUUUAGGGCAGCCUUCCUCCACUUGACGUCCUCCAGAUGCGUUAGGAUCACGAGUCCCAGAAUUCGCGGCGGGGUUGAAAUCUGGCAUCCCAAAGCAUCUGGAAGGGUCAGAUGACCGAAGGCUGCCCUUCUAAAGGGAUGAGGUUGACGUCCGACCGAGGCUUACGGAAAGUGGCGCUGCGGAAGGGCUUCUCUGUUUAUUAGUUACAAUGAUACCUUGAAAGGCAGCCUGGGUCAGCCCUCGCCCCGGGGAAGACGAUUAACGAGCUAGCUGUGUCUCUUCGCCCCCCCCCCCCCUUUCCGUCAACUCCCUGUUUUGCAGAGAGGUUCUCCCCAUUCAUUCAUCUAGUUGCGGGCUUUCAAUUAUUCACAAGCACGAGCCCUUCUCCCUGAGAGAUCUCCUCUUUGGAACGGCGGAGAUUUUUCUUUUUCUUCCUUUCCUUUUCUUGGCCACCUUUCUUUUAAGCCAACUGCGAGUGCCAACGUUUAACUUUUCGUGGGGCGGAGGCGGGAGAAGGUGCGCUUCUCGGUAACGCCAGGUGGCUGAAGGUAUCUGUGGGCUGCCUGCGAUUCUCUUCGCCGCCAGGGCACGUGGCGCCCUGCGCCUUAGUCCGUAAUUAACCCAAGGUUUAUUGGUUGGCCCUGAGUUUAAAUCUCCGGACGUUUCCUUUCCCGCCCUUUGGGAAACGCGGGGCUCAACCAGGGGAAAUCAGAAAGCCAGCGAAGUGUUGCAGUCGGCCGCAAAGUGAAGUAAGAAAAGAACUAGACCCACAUCAUCCGGGCCAUUUUUAGUUCAAAAUGCACUGAUUUCGCUUUAUGGGCUUUACACCUUAAAAGGUGCAUAGCCACCAGGUGCUUUGGAAAGGGUUAAGGUUAUGAGUAUGAAGUGGGAGUAGAAUGUUGUUAAAAACUGGGGUUGUCUCUUUACUAGCUGGAUGGCCCUGUCUUCUAAGGUGAUCAAUGCUGCAAAUACCUGCAUGGCGGAAAUAUCUCCCAUCUGCUUGAUUGUCUUAUCUAUACUGUAUUUAAUUGGAUCUCAUUCUGGGAACCCUUGAUAAAUUAUAUGCAUACAGUUCUUGGUGCUGCUUUGCAGUAGGCUUCUGUUUAGAAGCCAAAACUGUUUUAGGCUUCUGUUACAGGAUGCUUAGUGAAUAAUGGCUAUUCCCGGAACACCAAGUGAUAUAAACCAGCCAUCCCCACUCUUGAAGACGCACCCCAAGCCAUGUUAUCCAUGGGCACCUUGAAUGCACUCAGAUUUUCACCUGCAAGUGCCUGUUUUCCUGGAUGCAAUAUUCCCUCUCUUAGUAUCACUGAUUGCCAGGAUUUUGGACCGCUUAUUAACAAUUCAGAAGCACUGGUUCUCCAGAACCUGCUGGAUUUCCUCUUUCCUAGGGCUGAGAGUGCGUGACUGGCCCAAAGUCCCUCAGCUGGCUUCAUGCCUAAGAUUACUUGCAAAGUUAAUUGUCUCCAGUUUGAAUGUCAUUAAUGAACUAAAGCAAUGAACAAAUAAGAAAAGCAUUUCAAAAGUUCACAGAAAAGCAACACAUCCAAGAAGACAAGAGAUGGACCCUAUGUCUUCUACCAUCAACCAGGGCUACUCUCUCCAGGGACAAAUACUGUAUCACAAUAUGAGGAAGACCCUUUGUCCAAAUGAUAUGACAGCAGAUUCUGAAAUGUAGGUACUGGUCCUAUACUUAUACCUGGGGAUUUCCUAAAGUCCGUGUUGCAUUGCAAUUGUGAGUUAGAAGGUCAUCUUGCAGCCUCAUUCUUCUUAUAAAAUAAUGUCACUCUUAACCAUCCUCUUCUACCACAUUAUAGUUUGGCUCCAAAUUUUGAGAUGCUACAUCGAUUGUUUCUAAGAAAGGACACCAUAACAAAGAUGGGGCAUUCCCAGAGUAUUACCAUCAGGUGAAAGAAGAGCAAGAAGAAAGCUAUUGGUAAUCUUCCACCAUCUCUCCCUCUAUUUGGUUCCAGUAGUCUUCAAUUUAACCUACUCCAUAGGCUUAUGUAAUGAUAAAAUAGAACAAGCAAUAUUAUUUCAAUUGGCUUGAGAUGUGGAAGGAAUGAUGGGAUACAAAUGCAGCAAGUAAAGCAAACAUUCUCCUUUCUAUUCCUAGUAUUCCACAUAAUAUUCCAUUUUUAGCAUCCCAUGGUAACCAGCUGUUACUCUCUGGUCACUGGAUAUAGCCAUUCCCUGUCAAAUUGUUUGAACAACUAGUCUUUCUCUGAAAAAUUCUGCUGUCUUUGUUCAAGUCUUGAAGUUACACCACCCUACAAAAUAUAUGUGUGUGUGUGAGAGAGAAUAAUCAUUGUCUAUAUCACGCUCCACAAUUUUAGCACUUUCUUGAUGUAUGAACUUCAGUUCCCAACAUUUCCAAUUUAACAUGGUCAUUGCCAACAAUUCUGGGAAUUGAGGCUCAUAUAUAUGAAGGUUGGGAAGUUGAUCUUUAUCUAAUAAGAUGAUUAUCUUAUCAAAGACUUUGUUUCAUGUUUAUCAAAUUAUUCAUCCUAUAUGCCUUCUUGUAAAAUAUAUUGAAAAGAGGUUUCCAUACUGCCUCUUCUGUUCAUACCUGUGGCCAACUUUCAUCAGCAUUAACAUGCCACUUAUCCAGGUCUACAGUUCACAAUGCUUGGAAGUUUUUCAUUCCAUCAGAUUUCAACUAAUACUUUUCUUACCUACUGUGCUACGUAGAUAUUUUAAACAACAAGUUGCCAUGAGCACUGCCAUGUGAUUAGGGGUUCUGGGAAUUGUUCAACACAUCAGAAAGAAAAUAAUUUAGAGAAAGUUCCCUUAAGCUUCUUUCUCAUUGAAAAUGUUCACAGCUAUACAGCAUGUAGCUUUUAAAAAUUAUCUGAUUUCUUCCUAUACCUGAUUGGUCUGCAAUAUACAGGGUUCUGCCAUCUAAGGAUAAAAAUUUAGUGUGCAGUUGUUACAGGAAAUGUGGAUUCACUAGGAACAGCUAGCAUUAUUUCUGUAUUUUCUUAGCUAUUGCUAAUAUAUUUUAAGGCCCAAGCCAGACAUGAUAGGACACAUAGCUACUAAUUAAUGCCGCCUAAAAUGAAGAAAAUCUGGGGAAAGACCUUGUUUGAUGCAAUGCCAUAAUUUCUCUAUAAGUAACAAAAAUGAACACAACAACGAGUGGAGAAACUCUGAGUGAAAUGACAUCAUAUUCUAGCUAAUUUUUCACUAGAUGCUACCAAGAAACAUGAGUCAGAGACAGAGGUCAGUAGCAGUCACAUAUCUUAUUUAGUUCUUUAUCCAUGAGUGUAGGAUACUAAUAGACUGUGGGUAAGUGCAGUUCUUUACAACAGAAUGCUAGCAGAUCUAACGUUGAAAUAGCUGUAUUCCUCUGUUCUUAUAUUUGAUUGCUCUAAGGCAUAUCAAGUUUAUUGACAAGUUACCAUACAAGUAACCUUAGUUACCAGGUAGUCUCUAGGAGAUGAAACUUUAGGACAAAGGACGUAAAUAGGUUUUUCUUAAUAAAGGAUGUGGUUGGUUCUUUUGUAUUUGUUUGAUGAGAAUAUACAGACCUAGAAAGUAAUUUUGGUUGCUGCUAUUAAUCAUGAAAAUAACUGCAUCAGAAUGAUUUUUAGGAGUCUGAAAUCUGACCGAGCAAAGCAACCUAAAAUAUAAUUAAAACAAUUGAUUGCUCCA
Pantherophis guttatus is the source of this 4857-nucleotide non-coding RNA. Lineage: Eukaryota; Metazoa; Chordata; Lepidosauria; Squamata; Colubridae. The record is from RefSeq and is a predicted model, not a curated record.